RNAcentral lists this ribosomal RNA (589 nucleotides) under uncultured bacterium. RNAcentral's name for it is "bacterial SSU rRNA". It matches the Rfam family "Bacterial small subunit ribosomal RNA", at positions 338 to 916 of the family's 1533-position model. The record is from RNAcentral.
CCUACGGGAGGCAGCAGUGGGGAAUUUUGGACAAUGGGGGCAACCCUGAUCCAGCCAUGCCGCGUGAGUGAAGAAGGCCUUCGGGUUGUAAAGCUCUUUCAGGUGGAAAGAAAACUCGUGGGUGAAUACCCUGCGAGGCUGACGGUACCACCAGAAGAAGCACCGGCCUAACUACGUGCCAGCAGGCGCGUUAAUACGUAGGGUGCGAGCGUUAAUCGGAAUUACUGGGCGUAAAGCGUGCGCAGGCCGGUUAUGUAAGACAGAUGUGAAAUCCCCGGGCUCAACCUGGGAACUGCGUUUGUGACUGCAUAACUAGAGUACGGCAGAGGGAGGUGGAAUUCCACGUGUAGCAGUGAAAUGCGUAGAGAUGUGGAGGAACACCGAUGGCGAAGGCAGCCUCCUGGGCCAGUACUGACGCUCAUGCACGAAAGCGUGGGGAGCAAACAGGAUUAGAUACCCUGGUAGUCCACGCCCUAAACGAUGUCAACUAGUUGUUCGGUGAGGAGACUCAUUGAGUAACGCAGCUAACGCGUGAAGUUGACCGCCUGGGGAGUACGGCCGCAAGGUUAAAACUCAAAGGAAUUGACGG